GACGAACGCUGGCGGCGUGCUUAACACAUGCAAGUGGUGCGACGAACCAGGGCUUGCCCUGGGGCCAAGCCGCGAACGGGUGAGUAACACGUGAGUAACCUGCCCCGAUGACCGGGACAACCCGAGGAAACUCGGGCUAAUACCGGAUGUGGUGCACGGAUUUAAGUCUGUGUACUAAAGGAAGCUUCGGCCUCCGCAUUGGGAGGGGCUCGCGGCCCAUUAGCUUGUUGGUGAGGUAACGGCUCACCAAGGCAACGAUGGGUAGCUGGUCUGAGAGGACGAUCAGCCACACUGGGACUGAGACACGGCCCAGACUCCUACGGGUGGCAG
Molecule: ribosomal RNA, 330 nt
Filed under: uncultured Actinomycetes bacterium
Lineage: Bacteria; Bacillati; Actinomycetota; Actinomycetes
Description: bacterial SSU rRNA
Rfam family: Bacterial small subunit ribosomal RNA
Source: RNAcentral